AUGUCGGCCGCGGGGGAGGACAUAGUGCAGCACCUCUCGUCGAAUUCCAACCCGUCCUCGUCCAAGCUCGCCAAGCUCGAGGCGCGCAUGGCCGGCAAGGCCGUCUCGGUGCCGCCCCCGUCGCCGCCGCACCACCCGGUGGUCUCCGCCGCCUCGGCCCCCACCUUCAUGGACCAGGAGGAGCUACUAAUGUUUGCUGUAUUUGCUGACCAGAAUGGCGAGGAGUUCUUGAUACAGAAGAACACACUGAAGCGUCCGAGAUCCCCGGAUGAUGACCACGGCCUAGCUCUUGGAAAUUUUGAGGGAUCAGCUAAUGCGGCAGCAAAAGUAUUAGAUGUCACGGACACACGACUCCCUUCGGAAAACCCAAGCAGAAAAAGGCAGGGCCGUGGAAGGGGACGUGGUGGAACAGGACGAGGGCGUGGCUCAAAGACGGUUGAUCAAACACGCCAUACUUCGGCUUCUUCAGUAACUGUCUCAAAUGGUCAACAUGACAAAUUAACCAACAUGGAUUCCCGAACAAGUGUUCUACCUGGGAAUGAUGACAGGACUGCUUUACACGAAGAAUUAUCACUGUUACGUGGUAAAGUUGCAUUUUUGGAGGAGGAGCUUAAUAAAUCGCGUCAAGAAGCAACGGAGCAUCACCAACUUAGUGAUAGGUUAGCUAAGGAAUUGAAGGAUUUCAAGGAUCAAGAUCAACAAAAGAAACCAAAGCAAAUGAAGGUCCUGUCUGAUCUGCUCAUAGCAGUAUCAAAAGCAGAAAGGCAAGAAGCACGGAUGAAGUUAAAGCAGGAAUCUUUCAGACUCGGGAACAUUGGUGUUAUGAGAGCUGGGACUGUCAUAUCUGAAACAUGGGAGGAUGGUCAGGCAAUAAAGGACCUUAAUGCGCAUCUUAAAUCAUUGCUGGAAACUAAAGAGGCUGUUGAAAGACAUCGUAAAUCUCUAAAGAAAAGACAAUCAUCUGAUAAGGGUGACGGAAGUGAUGCUGAAACUAGCAUGUCCGAGGAAGAUUUCCUCUUACAGGACGAGAUAUGUAAAUCUCGGUUAACAAGUAUCAAGCGGGAGGAAGAACAGUAUCUGCGAGAAAGAGAUCGAUAUGAAUUAGAAAAGGGUAGGCUUAUACGUGAAAUGAAGCGUCUCAGAGAUGAGGAUGGAUCCCGUUUUAAUAACUUUCAAAUUCUUCACCAUCGAUAUGCUCUGUUAAAUCUUCUUGGAAAGGGAGGGUUUAGUGAGGUGUACAAGGCUUUUGACUUGGUGGAAUACAAGUACGUGGCCUGUAAGCUUCAUGGUUUGAAUGCUCAGUGGAGUGAGGAGAAAAAGCAAAGCUACAUACGGCAUGCGAUUCGUGAAUAUAAUAUCCAUAAGACUCUGGUGCAUACAAACAUUGUCAGGCUAUGGGACAUAUUCGAGAUUGAUCACAACACAUUCUGCACUGUCCUAGAAUAUUGCAGCGGCAAGGAUCUCGAUGCAGUCCUUAAAGCAACACCAAUUCUUCCAGAAAAGGAAGCAAGGAUCAUAAUUGUUCAAGUGUUUCAGGGCCUUGUUUAUCUUAACAAAAAGGCUCAAAAGAUCAUCCACUAUGACCUCAAACCAGGCAACGUUCUCUUCGACGAAGUUGGUGUUACAAAAGUCACAGACUUUGGCCUCAGCAAGAUAGUGGAGGAUGACGUUGGGUCUCAGGGAAUGGAACUCACUUCUCAGGGAGCUGGAACCUAUUGGUAUCUGCCACCAGAAUGCUUUGAUCUCAGCAGAACACCAUUUAUUUCAUCUAAGGUGGAUGUUUGGUCAGCCGGUGUGAUGUUUUAUCAGAUGCUAUAUGGGAGGCGUCCUUUUGGCCAUGACCAGACCCAAGAGAGAAUACUUCGAGAAGAUACAAUUAUCAAUGCACGCAAGGUGGAAUUCCCUCCGAAGCCAACUGUAUCAAACGAGGCAAAGGAACUGAUACGCCGUUGCUUGACAUACAAUCAAUCGGAGAGGCCAGACGUUCUAUCAAUAGCUCAAGAUCCUUAUCUCUCUUAUGCAAAGAGGUAG
This 2031-nucleotide ribosomal RNA is filed under the name Triticum aestivum (bread wheat). RNAcentral's name for it is "partial small subunit ribosomal RNA". Lineage: Eukaryota; Viridiplantae; Streptophyta; Magnoliopsida; Poales; Poaceae. The record is from RNAcentral.